UCUCAGGGAGUUGAGUUCAGGCUAGUCUUGUUUUUCCUCUCCUCGUAGCUCGCAGGCAGCUCGCCAGCCGUGUUGGCCGUCGGCCACCCCUCCCCCGUUUCCCCUUUUGUGCGGGCACAGGGCUUGGUAAACGCGAGCCGGGAUCGAACGGACAUGGCUUCCCAGCCUAAACGUGGGCCUCCGCUAAGCUUCAUCUACUAUGAAGGUACCGGGUCCGCUCCCAGCCAAGCGGGAUCGCUCUGAAAUUGCCAGCGAGCCACGAAAGAGGCAGGAAGAGAGACGUCCGGUUCUCCCAAGAAGGCGUGACGACCAGCCAUUGUUCUUCUCCCGCCUCUCUUGUUCCCUUUGUUUUUAUUUCUUUACAUCUUUUUCAUCUGCAACCAAAUCUGCCACGUGGCUUCCGGAGCACCUUCCACAGAGAGACUACCCCCAAAGACCAGCUGAUCUGCAUUCAACGAACUGGCCAGUUCGUUGUACCUUGUCGUCGCGUUCCAGCAUUCCUUGUUUCCACGUCAUAGAUUCACAGUAAGACCUGACCCUGCUCCAGUGACGCUCGUCCAGCGGCCGCCACCCGUCCUUGCUCCGGCGGCGCUCGUCCAGCGGCUGCCAUCCGACCACGCUCCGGCGGCGCUCGUCCAGCGGCCGCCACCCGACCACGCUCCGGCGGCGCUCGUCCAGCGGCCGCCACCCAACCCUAUUGCCUGGCCCCUGCAUUACCAUUGGGUUCGGCACCGUGGCCGUCCGCCUGAAUGGCCCUGUAAAGACCCUGGUGCUUGGCGUCCUGGACGACCUCCUGACCCGCUCAGCCAAGCACCUCACCUCGGGUGGCCUGGAUGGCCACCAGACUGACCUGAGGGGUGGACUCUGUACCCUCCUCCAGGCCCCCUUCCGCCCACCCUGGGUUGAUGUCUUUUUGGUUGUUGUUUGGGGAACGUCUGGGAUCCGUUCCUUUAGAGGGGGGGUACUGUCAUGGUCUGUGUUUUGGUUUGGGUUGUGUUUAGUUUUGUUCAAUGUUUUCCUGUGUUCCAUGUUUGUCGUGUGCUCAUUAGGUUGUUGUGUCCACCUGUUCUCGUCUACUUUGUCGACCAAUCAGCUCUCUCUAGCCACUCGUCUUGUCCAGGUGUUCCUCGUUGUCUCGUCAAUUUGUUUGUAUUUAGUUCCCUGGUUUCUUUUAGUUCUCGUCGGUUCAUUGUCGUUGUCACAUGUCUUGCCAUGUCAUUGUCGCUCAGGUAUUUCACCAGUCAUGUCUUGUUUCUUGUUUUGGGUUCACUCAAGUGUUUCUUUGUUACUUUGUGUUUAGAUUUUGGACUUUGUUAAUUUAGCAUUUAGACUUUUUCAUGAUCUUUGUUUUCCUUUGUUUUUGGAAUUAAAUAUUAUUAUUUUGAGAUUCCCGCA
Molecule: RNA transcript, 1395 nt
Organism: Phyllopteryx taeniolatus (common seadragon)
Lineage: Eukaryota; Metazoa; Chordata; Actinopteri; Syngnathiformes; Syngnathidae
Exons: 2
Source: RefSeq, a predicted model, not a curated record